Molecule: ribosomal RNA, 377 nt
Filed under: uncultured soil bacterium
Lineage: Bacteria
Description: bacterial SSU rRNA
Rfam family: Bacterial small subunit ribosomal RNA
Source: RNAcentral
AGAGCGAACGCUGGCGGCAGGCCUAAUACAUGCAAGUCGAACGGCUCUUCGGAGCAGUGGCGGACGGGUGAGUAACGCGUGGGAAUGUGCCCUUUGGUACGGAACAACUGAGGGAAACUUCAGCUAAUACCGUAUGUGCCCUUCGGGGGAAAGAUUUAUUGCCAUUGGAGCAGCCCGCGUUGGAUUAGCUAGUUGGUGGGGUAAAGGCCCACCAAGGCGACGAUCCAUAGCUGGUCUGAGAGGAUGAUCAGCCACACUGGGACUGAGACACGGCCCAGACUCCUACGGGAGGCAGCAGUAGGGAAUCUUGCGCAAUGGGCGAAAGCCUGACGCAGCCAUGCCGCGUGAAUGAUGAAGGUCUUAGGAUUAGUAAAAUU